GAUGAACGCUAGCGGGAGGCUUAAUACAUGCAAGUCGAACGGUAAGGUCCUCUUCGGAGGAUACACGAGUGGCGCACGGGUGAGUAACGCGUACAUAACAUACCUAUCAGUGGGGGAUACGCUUUGGAAACGAAGUAUAAUACCCCAUAGUUUUCAUGAAUCGCAUGGUUUAUGGAAUAAAGCUCCGGUGCUGAUAGAUUGGUGUGCGUACUAUUAGGUAGUUGGUGAGGUAGAAGCUCACCAAGCCGACGAUAGUUAGGGGGCGUGAGAGCGUGAACCCCCACACGGGUACUGAGACACGGACCCGACUCCUACGGGAGGCAGCAGUAAGGAAUAUUGGACAAUGGAGGCAACUCUGAUCCAGCCAUCCCGCGUGCAGGAUGACAGCCCUAUGGGUCGUAAACUGCUUUUAUAUGGGACGAACCGCCUGGUUUUAAUCGGGUUUGACGGUACCAUAAGAAUAAGCACCGGCUAACUCCG
Molecule: ribosomal RNA, 480 nt
Filed under: uncultured Saprospiraceae bacterium
Lineage: Bacteria; Pseudomonadati; Bacteroidota; Saprospiria; Saprospirales; Saprospiraceae
Description: bacterial SSU rRNA
Rfam family: Bacterial small subunit ribosomal RNA
Source: RNAcentral